CCGGAUCCCAUCAGAACUCUGAAGUUAAGCGCCUUUGGGCCGGAAUAGUACUGGGAUGGGUGACCUCCCGGGAAGUCCCGGUGCUGCAUCCAU
Molecule: ribosomal RNA, 93 nt
Filed under: Brachythecium rutabulum
Lineage: Eukaryota; Viridiplantae; Streptophyta; Bryopsida; Hypnales; Brachytheciaceae
Source: RNAcentral